Molecule: ribosomal RNA, 1492 nt
Filed under: metagenome
Description: bacterial SSU rRNA
Rfam family: Bacterial small subunit ribosomal RNA
Source: RNAcentral
AGAGUUUGAUCCUGGCUCAGAACGAACGCUGGCGGCGUGGAUAAGACAUGCAAGUCGAACGAGGUUAUGAGAGUGGGUAACUACAUUCAUAACUUAGUGGCAAACGGGUGAGUAACACGUGGGUAAUUUACCUCAAAGAUCGGGAUAGCUCCUCGAAAGGGGAAUUAAUACCGGAUGUGGCUGUUGAAUGCAAAUUCGACUACUAAAGGCGGGGAUCCUUCGGGACCUGCCACUUUGAGAUAAGCCCGCGGCCUAUCAGCUUGUUGGCGGAGUAAAAGCCCACCAAGGCUUACGGGUAGCUGGCCUGAGAGGGUGGUCAGCCACACUGGGACUGAGACACGGCCCAGACACCUACGGGUGGCAGCAGUCGAGAAUCUUUCGCAAUGGGGGAAACCCUGACGGAGCGACGCCGCGUGAAGGAUGAAGGUCUUCGGAUUGUAAACUUCUGUCACCUGGGAAUAAUGGUAUUCCGGUAAACAAUCGGGGUAUUUGACUGUACCAGGAGAGGAGGCCACGGCUAACUCUGUGCCAGCAGCCGCGGUAAUACAGAGGUGGCAAGCGUUGUUCGGAUUUACUGGGCGUAAAGAGCACGUAGGCGGCGCAGUAAGUCGGAUGUGAAAGCCCACGGCUCAACCAUGGAACUGCAUUCGAAACUACUGUGCUAGAGGUGAGUAGGGGAAAGUGGAAUUCUCGGUGUAGCGGUGAAAUGCGUAGAUAUCGAGAGGAACAUCAGCGGCGAAAGCGACUUUCUGGACUCAUUCUGACGCUGAGGUGCGAAAGCUGGGGGAGCAAACAGGAUUAGAUACCCUGGUAGUCCCAGCCAUAAACGGUGUUCACUUGGUGUUAGGAGAUUUGACCCUUCUAGUGCCGGAGCUAACGCGUUAAGUGAACCGCCUGGGGAGUACGGCCGCAAGGUUAAAACUCAAAGGAAUUGACGGGGGCCCGCACAAGCGGUGGAGCAUGUGGCUUAAUUCGAUGCAACGCGAAGAACCUUACCAAGGCUUGACAUGCCGGGAUUAAUCUGCUGAAAGGUAGAGGAUUGCCGCAAGGCGUAACCGGCACAGGUGCUGCAUGGCUGUCGUCAGCUCGUGUCGUGAGAUGUUGGGUUAAGUCCCGCAACGAGCGCAACCCUUGCACUUAGUUGCCACUUCCGGUUUACCGGGAAGCACUCUAGGUGGACUGCCCUGUUCAACAGGUGAGGAAGGUGGGGAUGACGUCAAGUCAGGAUGGCCCUUACGCCUUGGGCUGCACACGUGCUACAAUGGCCGGUACAGAAGGAUGCUAGACCGCGAGGUGGAGCAAAUCCUACAAAACCGGUCCCAGUCCGGAUCGGAGUCUGCAACCCGACUCCGUGAAGUUGGAAUCGCUAGUAAUGGCGUAUCAGCUACGACGCCGUGAAUACGUUCCCGGGCCUUGUACACACCGCCCGUCACAUCAGGGGAGUGGGUUGCAAAAGAAGUGGGUAGUCUAACCUUCGGGAGGGCACUCACCA